Sebastes umbrosus (honeycomb rockfish) is the source of this 191-nucleotide long non-coding RNA. RefSeq lists it as uncharacterized. The record is from RefSeq and is a predicted model, not a curated record. The transcript is spliced from 4 exons. NCBI's taxonomy places the organism in Eukaryota, Metazoa, Chordata, Actinopteri, Perciformes, Sebastidae.
UACUGUAUGUAGUAUGUACUAAUAAUGUACAAAUCCCAAAAUAGCCAAUGAAAUAAGGAAUAAUCCGACAACAUUAUUCAUAUUCAACAUUAAUUAUUGUUAGUUAUUCUCACACGAAUAACACUGUUUGUUGUGUGCAGAGGUGUUUGUGUGUAAAGUAGUGCGGCACUGAAACGGGGGGAAGGUGACAU